GGGUUGUUGCUGGCCCCCAAACCGGGCACGUGCACGCCCUGUUUACGCAUCCACUCACACCUGUGCACCCUCUGUAGUUCUGUGGACCGGGAGACGUCGUCUUCCUUCCGUGGCUCUACGUCUUUACACACACGCCGUAGCGAAGUCUCAUGGAAUGUUUUUCGCGUUUAACGCAAUACAAUACAACUUUCAGCAACGGAUCUCUUGGCUCUCGCAUCGAUGAAGAACGCAGCGAAAUGCGAUAAGUAAUGUGAAUUGCAGAAUUCAGUGAAUCAUCGAAUCUUUGAACGCACCUUGCGCCCCUUGGUUAUUCCUCGGGGCAUGCCUGUUUGAGUAUCAUGAACACCUCAACUCUCGUGGUCUUCCAUGAUGAGCUUGGACUUUGGGGGUUUGCUGGCCCUGUGGCCGGCUCCUCUCAAACGAAUCAGCUUGCCAGUGUUUGGCGGCGUCACGGGUGUGAUAACCAUCUACGCUUGCGAUCGCCUGCCAGAUAACCCUCAGCGAUGAAGGUUCAUUGGGGCUUACAAAAGUCUCUCCACAGCGAGGACGAAUUUUGAAUGUUCGAUCUCAAAUCAGGUAGGACUACCCGCUGAACUUAAGCAUAUCAUA
RNAcentral lists this ribosomal RNA (609 nucleotides) under uncultured fungus. Its description in RNAcentral is "eukaryotic LSU rRNA". The stretch from base 185 to 339 matches the Rfam family "5.8S ribosomal RNA". Lineage: Eukaryota; Fungi. The record is from RNAcentral.